RNAcentral lists this long non-coding RNA (1126 nucleotides) under Setaria viridis. RNAcentral describes it as "long non-coding RNA (SVIR_LNC003655)". The record is from RNAcentral. Lineage: Eukaryota; Viridiplantae; Streptophyta; Magnoliopsida; Poales; Poaceae.
CCCGGCGCCGUAGAAUACAGGAGCAGAACCAAUCCCGUAGUGGGUGAUGCCGCCCAUGAGGUUCGAGAGGAAUGAGAGAACCAUGGCGGCAAAGAGUGAGGGGGUGCCCAGGGCCUUCGCCACUGACAGGAAUGCAGCAAACAUUGCUCCAAUGUGUGCAGCACCACUGGCGAAGAAAUAGUGGGAGUAGAAGUACAGCAGCACCAAGACGCUGAACGAAAGUUGCCAGGACAAACCAAGGCCUCCAACAAACUGCGAGAAACAGAAAGACAUGGUCAAUAUAGGAGAAAUUAGUAAACAGGAAAAACGCAUUCCUUUCCAUGACGUUGAUGUCAGAACUGGGUUAACCAAAGAAUAAACACAUUGGAAUAUCAGGCCCAUAAAUGCCAUUGAACUUCUAGGGAAAAAAAGCUGGGCAUUGAACUGCAUGCCUAGAUUAUUUUUAUUAUUGUCAUGCUGAUGGAUAUAUGAGCCUGCCAUUCAUACUCAAAUGUUAGAAAGAAUCAAGAUAAUUAUUUCUACUUCUGGUCUAACAAACGAAAAAAAUCUUUAUAUCUUAACUACCUACCAUCUAGCUAUCCUUCAUUGUGGACAGUGCUCCAUUUCAAGGGUGAGCAGAUAAAUGGCACAAUAAAUAGCUCCUAGAUCAGGGUCAAGAUAUGCAUGGUUAAUGUCAUUAUGUAUCAGAAUUGAAUACAAUGUGCAACUUGGUGGAACCUGCAAACAUGACAAACAAUGCCAGCAAAUGCAAUGUUUGGUGGCAUCAAAGUUCAGCACCAUGCCAUAUUGAAAUGGAGAAUAUCCACCAUGCUCAAUAUCAAUUACAGUUGGACAACACUGUAGUAAUUUGUAUGCUGUUCGAACUUCUGAAUUGUGGUGUGAGGAGAAAGUUACGGGAGGAAGAGUCAGUGUACCUUCACAACAGUCUCACUGAACCAAGCAAUCAGCCCAUAUUUGUUGAGGUAGCCAGCCAUUGCGAUAAGUGCGGCAAACCAUGUAAGGGUAUCCCAUGCCACAGACUCCGCCAAACACUCUUUCCAUGUGACAACACCUGUGAUUAGGAGCACACCUAGGCCAAGAAUUGCUGCAGACACUGCAUCCACACUUAUCAUUCCCCCAAAGAUCC